GGAGGAUUUAGCAGUAAAUUAAGAAUAGAGUGCUUAAUUGAACGAGGCCAUAAAGCGCGCACACACCGCCCGUCACUCCCCUCAAAUAUAUUUAAGGAGCAUCUUAACUAAACACCCCAAUAUCUAUAUAGAGGGGAUAAGUCGUAACAUGGUAAGUGUACUGGAAGGUGCACUUGGAUAAAU
This 183-nucleotide ribosomal RNA is filed under the name Macaca nemestrina (pig-tailed macaque). Its description in RNAcentral is "partial 12S ribosomal RNA". It matches the Rfam family "Bacterial small subunit ribosomal RNA", at positions 1325 to 1533 of the family's 1533-position model. The record is from RNAcentral. Lineage: Eukaryota; Metazoa; Chordata; Mammalia; Primates; Cercopithecidae.